GCCUGGAUGGCUCAGUCAGUUAAGUGUCUGACUUCAGCUCAGGUCCUGAUCUCACAGUUUGUGGGUUCAAGCCCCGCAUCGGGCU
RNAcentral lists this transfer RNA (85 nucleotides) under Felis catus (domestic cat). It matches the Rfam family "tRNA". Rfam says of the family: Transfer RNA (tRNA) molecules are approximately 80 nucleotides in length. Their secondary structure includes four short double-helical elements and three loops (D, anti-codon, and T loops). Further hydrogen bonds mediate the characteristic L-shaped molecular structure. tRNAs have two regions of fundamental functional importance: the anti-codon, which is responsible for specific mRNA codon recognition, and the 3' end, to which the tRNAs corresponding amino acid is attached (by aminoacyl-tRNA synthetases). tRNAs cope with the degeneracy of the genetic code in two manners: having more than one tRNA (with a specific anti-codon) for a particular amino acid; and 'wobble' base-pairing, i.e. permitting non-standard base-pairing at the 3rd anti-codon position. Lineage: Eukaryota; Metazoa; Chordata; Mammalia; Carnivora; Felidae. The record is from Rfam by way of RNAcentral.